UACGGAGGAUGCAAGCGUUAUCCGGAAUGAUUGGGCGUAAAGCGUCCGCAGGUGGCUAUGUAAGUCUGCUGUUAAAGAGUGAGGCUCAACCUCAUAAGAGCAGUGGAAACUACAUGGCUAGAGUGCGUUCGGGGCAGAGGGAAUUCCUGGUGUAGCGGUGAAAUGCGUAGAGAUCAGGAAGAACACCGGUGGCGAAAGCGCUCGGCUAGGCCGCAACUGACACUCAUGGACGAAAGCUAGGGGAGCGAAUGGG
RNAcentral lists this ribosomal RNA (253 nucleotides) under uncultured bacterium. RNAcentral's name for it is "partial 16S ribosomal RNA". It matches the Rfam family "Bacterial small subunit ribosomal RNA", at positions 524 to 776 of the family's 1533-position model. The record is from RNAcentral.